GGAAAUGUGGCUUAGUGGUAAGUAGAGUGCUUGCCUAUCAUGCAAGAAGCCCUGGGUUCAAUUCCUCAGUACCA
Molecule: transfer RNA, 74 nt
Filed under: Dipodomys ordii (Ord's kangaroo rat)
Lineage: Eukaryota; Metazoa; Chordata; Mammalia; Rodentia; Heteromyidae
Rfam family: tRNA
About the family: Transfer RNA (tRNA) molecules are approximately 80 nucleotides in length. Their secondary structure includes four short double-helical elements and three loops (D, anti-codon, and T loops).
Source: Rfam by way of RNAcentral